Molecule: long non-coding RNA, 1707 nt
Organism: Cucumis sativus (cucumber)
Lineage: Eukaryota; Viridiplantae; Streptophyta; Magnoliopsida; Cucurbitales; Cucurbitaceae
Exons: 3
Source: RefSeq, a predicted model, not a curated record
CAAUUUAAAAUUACACAAGUGUGUUGCAAGUCAAUUGAAAUCGAGUUGAAUUUUGUAGGCUCUGUUUGGUUUAAAAAGUGACACAUCCAUAUAAAAUUUGAGAAAACUCAACAUAUUCAGUUUGGUAUUAUUUUAUUGAAACACUAUUUAAAAUCAAACUAAAUCGUAGGUAUUCACCUUAACAAAAACUCUACAACUAAUUCCUUUUUCCUUUCAAUCAUUUGUUACUCUCAUCUCCUCACAACAAUGCACGACUUCAUCCCCUUUUCUCUCUCGUCUACUAUUAAGAACGGGAUAUAACGAAAUCAAAGUACUUGGUUUUUUAAGUUAUUCGUUGGUUCAAUUUUUUUUAACAGAUUUGAAAUAUAGUCUCUUGAUUGUUAAAACACAAUAUUUCACAACUGAGCUAAGAUUACCACUAGAAGAAAACUACCCUACAAUGACAGUUAUAUAUCUCAAAAAAUGAAUGAAAGAAAAAAAACUGUCACGAAAUAUAAAAUUUUGCGUUUUUGGCGGGAAAAGACGGAAUUUUUCGGAAAACACUUUUCGUGACAGUUAUUAACUGUCAUAGAAUGUUAGGGUUAAAAUUUUUUUCUUUUUUCCUUUUCUUUUCUUUUUCCUUUUUCUUUCUUUUCCCUAUUUCCUUCUUCCUCCCCGUGCGUCCUUCCCCUUCUCCCCAGCCGCAACCGCCGCGCCUCUUCUCCUUCCUUCCGUACGCCGCGACGACUCCACCGUCUCCUUCUCCUUUCCUUCUCUUUUCUUUCCGUUCCCUUCCGUCUUUCUUUCCGCCGCAGCCCAACCGCCCCAUCCUUCCCCUUCUCUCCGUUCGCGAAGCAAAACCGCCACCGACCGACCUCCAUUCCUCUUCUCCUUCCCGUUCGCAGCCCCGCCGCAAAUCGUCGCCUCCCUUCCCUUCCAUUUUCUUCUUCCGUCCGCAGCCCUGCCGCAACCCUUCCCUUCCAUUUUCCUCUUCUCUUCAGUUCGCAAAGCAGCCGUACACGUCCAGAUCUGCACCGCAAGACCGCCCGUUGCCCUUCCGCCGCUGCCCGGUCCAGAUCUGCACCGUUUUCGCGUCUUGUUCUGUCUCCGUCGAAGCCGAGCCACCGUGUGAAGCAGUAACCGCCACGUCCGCCGCUCACAACCGCCAUCCACCGAUCCCUUCUCCUCCGUUGUCUGCACUACCGGGCCGGAAGCCUGGUUUCAGCCAGCCUCUGCCGUCGAUCAGACCUUAUCAAUCUUCCAGAUUGUGCGCCCUAUUCCAGAGAAAUGCGACAUCAACUUAUAAUAUCCUAAAUGAGGAGGGUAGAAUUGUAGCUGCAGCGCUUCUGCCUUAUGGAGUUUCUUCAUGACCCACCGCCCAGAGCCAGACUCGGUUGUUGUUAUGGAUGCCUCUAAAUUGCAGGAUUCUUCUACCUCUCAAAUCUUACAAGUAUUACUUAGCGCUUUGAUCUCUACUCAUUUGUAGACUGACUACAACUAUCGAGUCACUUGGUCCUUUUUGCUGUAUAGAUAUACUGUUAUUGUCAUAACCUGCCAUCAAGAAUUAUAGUGUAUAUAUAUUAAAGUGUUGGCUAUUUUCUUGUACAUUGGUGUGAAACUUGUAUAAUUUCAAAUUUGUCAUUCUCAGCUACAUUAUUGUCAUUCUAAUGGUUCGUGUAAUGGUGGAGCUGCAUGGAGAACAGAAUAAAACUAUAGGAAAUUGAGAAA